CAGCCACAUCAUAUUGAAACACCGUUCUCCAUAUGAUCACCAAAGUUUAGCAACAUUGAGCCUGGUCAGUACCAAGAUGGGUGACUGCUUGGAAAUACCAGGUGCUGUAAG
This 111-nucleotide ribosomal RNA is filed under the name Acanthosepion pharaonis. Lineage: Eukaryota; Metazoa; Mollusca; Cephalopoda; Sepiida; Sepiidae. The record is from RNAcentral.